ACUCAGAUUGGGAAUGCCAUGGAUGCUUUACAGCAUAAAGUCGAACGGCAGCACGGACUUCGGUCUGGUGGCGAGUAAGAACGGGUGAGUACGAUGAUCGGACAAACGCUCUAGUAGCGGGGGAUAACUACGCUAAAGCGGGCUGACAAUACCGCAUACGCCCUUCGGGGGAAAGCGGGGGGAUCUUCGCCCGGUAAUCAUUAUUGAGAGCGGCCGAUAUCAGAUUAGCUAGUUGGUGGGGUAACGGCUCACCAAGGCGAUCCGUAGUUGGUUUGAGAGGACGACCAGCCACACUGACUCCAGACACGGCCCAGACUCAGCGGAGGCGCAGUGGGGAAUUUUGGACAAUGGGGAAACUCCUGAUCCAGGCCAUCCCGCGUGUGCGAUGAAGGCCUUCGGGGUUGUAAAGCACUUUUGGCAGGAAAGAAACGGCACGGGAUAAUACCCCGUGCAACUGACGGUACCUCUGCAGAAUAAGCAAUCGUUAACCACGUGCCAGCAGCCGCGGUAAUACGUAGGGUAAGCGUUAAUCGGAAUUACUAUGUAAAGUGCGCAGGCGGUUCGGAAAGAAAGAUGGUAAUCCCAGAGCUUAACUUGGAACUGCAUUUCUUAACUACCGAGCUGAGUGUGUCAGAGGGAGUGGGGAAUCUCCGCGUAGCAGAAAUGCGUAGAUAUGCGGAGGAACACCAUGGCAGCAGAAAGCCUCCUGGGACAAUAUCGACGUCAUGCAUCGAAAGCGUGGGGAGCAAACAGGAUUGUAUACUCCCGUAGUCCACGCCCUAAACGAUGUCAAUUAGCUGUUAGCUGGCCUGCAUGUGCCAACGCUGCGAAGUUAAUCGCCGCCUGUGGAGUACGGUCGCAAGAUUAAACUCAAAAGGAAUUGACGGGGACCCGCACAAGCGGUGGAUGAGCGUGAUUAAUUCCGAUGUACAACGCGAAAACCUUACCUACCCUUGACAUGUCUGGAAUCCCGAAGAAUGGGGAGUGCUCGCAAGAGAACCGGAACACAGGUGCUGCAUGGCUGUCGUCAGUCGUACAGCCGUGAGAUGUUGGGUUAAGUCCCGCAACGAGCGCAACCCUGUUUGAAUGGCAUACGAAAGGGCACCACCUUAAUGAGACUGCAGACAAACCGGAGGAAGCGGUGUAUGACGUCAAGUCCUCAUGGCCUCUGCGGUGAGGGCUUCACACGUCAUGUACAAUGGUCGGGACAGAGGGAAAUGCUAACCGCGAGGGGGAGCCAAUCCUAGAAACCCGAUCGUAGUCCGGAUCGCAGUCUGCAACUCGACUGCGUGAAGUCGGAAUCGCUAGUAAUCGCGGAUCAGCAUGUCGCGGUGAAUACGUUCCUGUCUUGUACACAACGCCUGUCACACCAUGGGAGUGGGUUUUACCAGAAGUAGUUAGCCUAACCGUAAGGAGGGCGAUUACCACGGUAGGAUUCAUGACUGGGGUGAAGUCGUAACAAGGUAA
Molecule: ribosomal RNA, 1467 nt
Filed under: uncultured Bordetella sp.
Lineage: Bacteria; Pseudomonadati; Pseudomonadota; Betaproteobacteria; Burkholderiales; Alcaligenaceae
Description: partial 16S-23S ribosomal RNA intergenic spacer
Rfam family: Bacterial small subunit ribosomal RNA
Source: RNAcentral